This is a long non-coding RNA of Vespa crabro (European hornet), 2186 nucleotides long. RefSeq lists it as uncharacterized. The transcript has 2 exons. NCBI's taxonomy places the organism in Eukaryota, Metazoa, Arthropoda, Insecta, Hymenoptera, Vespidae. The record is from RefSeq and is a predicted model, not a curated record.
AUAUCUUUAUAUAAAGGAAUUUAGAAAAAAAGAUAGAUAUAAAAUAGAUGAAAAAUCAACGUCUUCUUCGUUAGUAUGUACAUAAGUUUUAAGUUUCAUCAAUGACAAUUUCAUAUAUUACAUAUAUAUGAAACAUUUCGCAAUAAUUUUUCUUACAAUAAAUAAUCCCGACCAUGUUGAUGUCAUUUAAGUUUAAUAAUAUUUAUAAACUAAGAUGAUGAUCGAAAAGUUUAAAGAGAAUUGAUUUAAUCAAAGGAUGAUCGAGCUAUAGAUAAAUGUCCCUGAUAACUAGUAUCAAGAGACAAAAGCACGUAAUUAGUACAAAACGGAUUAGUAGCUACGAUCGGCAUGAGAUCGAUCUAUGAAAGUUCGAUCAGCUGAUCGCGCUAGUAAACUCGUAGUUACCUCAAAAUAUCAGCAAUAUCUUUGCGUCAUCCAUUGUAGCUGUUGCAAUUAUUUUUCCUACGGUUACAUCAUGGACGUAAUCGUGCGAUAGAAAAAUUACUACAGUCGUAGUUUCCUAGCCAAAAUCAUAUUACGUGGCCAUUAAAAAGUAGCAAUAAAGAAGUAUAAAUAUUGAUCAAUAUCUUUUGAAAUACUUGUCUCGUGCCUGUAAAUAACAUAAUUGUCCCUAUAUCAACUCGUGUAUGCGUACAUACAUACAUACAUACAUAAGUACAUAUAUUUACAGCAAAGAAAAUAAAUAUACAUAACUGCCUUACGAGAAAAAAUCUUUGUUCAUAGAAUUUCUGUUUUCAAUGCGAUACAUUUAUAUCAGAUAUUAAAUCAUAAUUUUAUUACAUAAAAAAUAAAAAAAGAAUAAAAAAAAACAUAUUUAUAUCAAUCGCCGUAUUUCUGUAUUCGUUUAUUUUGUAAUGAAUUCGUGCGUAAUCGAUAAGACUUAGUAGUUUUCUUAAGUAGUUAUAUAGCGUUAGGAUCAACUUGGAUAUAACAUCUAUCAGUAUUUCAAGCGACAGGUGGCCAUAUGAAUCCUACUUGAUUCAUAAUCGCUCGACGAAUUUUGGAUCUUCUGAAACAAAACAACAAUGUAAGAGAAAGGGUAGGAAAGAAGGGGUGGGAGAGAGAUAGAGAGAAUACACGAGAGCACACACCCUCUUCGCCACAAUAUACAUCACGUUAUAACGCCGGAAAUUCGGUGGUCGCGAGUUAAUUACGUCACGUGAGACUAUUAAUGCCUUGGCAGAUCUAACACCGCGUUACAUACAAUGGCACGGUUGUGUUUAGGUUCUCUUACCCAUAUAUUAACGUCGCGACCCAUGCCAACCCUCGUUACUUGAGACGUUAUAAUUAAGACCGUCCGCUUCGACCAUCUCGGACAUAGCGAUUUGCAACUUUGGAAUUUGACUUUGUUCGUACAAGCGCGCUCUAUCGUAUUUGUCUGUGACCUUGUAUUAACGAUUACUCUUGAGAAUGAAAUGUCAUUUUGAAUGAAACGAUUAAUGAAAUUCAUUAUAAUCAUUACAUUUAAACGAACGAGUGCUUAAGAUAUUUUUGUUAAGUGUGCACUCUUAAGAGUGCUUAAGAUGUAUUUGUUAAGACAUUUGUUGGAAUGUUCAAAGUAUGUACGAAGAUGAAGGAAUAAGAGUCUCUCCAUCUGCAUUUAGGUCGUUAUUACAUCAAGACGCGCUUAAUUAGCUCCUGGCAAGGCGGAAAGUGUUGCGCGUUUGAACCUCUACUGCUCGCAAGUCCGUAAUAAUAAUAUAACCUCGUAUCUUCAUAAUGCGGAAAACACUUUUCAACGUGGCUAGCGUAGAAGUGAAGCGGUAUACGAAAAGGGAUGUUGAAACGGGAAUGGGGUGGGCUGGAUUCUUCGUCGUUUAAAUACUACACCGGGUGUACUGCUCGUAAAUUAUUUCUUUAAUCUGUGAAAAGUAGAACAUAGUUAGUAGUAAGAAUCAAAGUGCUUACUAACGAAUACACUGUUAAGAUACAACUUUAUAUUAUUUUUUAUUUCUUUUUUUUUUUUUUUUUUCGUACAGUGAUUUAUCCUAUAAUUUGUAGAUACAUCAAAAGAAUUGUCCGUCACGUUUAAUCACGGAAGAGAAUUUCCUCAGGUAAAAUAAUUAUUUUUUUGGAAUGUACUUAACGAACAAGUUCCAACAAUCGAAGAUCAUUCUUUGGGGUUCUAUAAGAUCUGUCGAAAUAAAAAUUGCGAUAACAUUGUU